Molecule: long non-coding RNA, 645 nt
Organism: Acipenser ruthenus (sterlet)
Lineage: Eukaryota; Metazoa; Chordata; Actinopteri; Acipenseriformes; Acipenseridae
Exons: 3
Source: RefSeq, a predicted model, not a curated record
GCUCCUUGGCCAUUUGAAGAGUUGUUUUCCUCCUGGGGACGGCUGCCAACUGCACAGCUUGUUGAUCACAAAGAAGGGAUCUUGGCAGGGCACCAGCUGCAGGGAAGCCUUCUCUGAGCAGGAGACAUUUUGGAAUGAUAUCAGAAUUCCUCAUAAGGGAUAAGGGAUGUCCAAUCAUGGUCCUGGAUGGCCAGUACACUCCAGGAUUAACUGGUACAAUGAUAUAUUGAACUACUUCAGGGUCUGGAUGGAGGUUUAAUUGGUUCAAUUAAACAAUUUGGAACAGGGUUGGAACAAAGACCAGGAGUGGAAGAGACAACUUUGGGCAGCCCAGCUUUAACACAAGAAGAACAGCAGAAGAAAAGACAACAUGAAGACAAAAACCUUGAAAAGGAAUUUCCCAAGUCAACCAUCUGUAAGCACAGAAGACACCUGGGGCCCAGUUUUCCACUGUGUGCAAAUGUACUAUGGGUUGGGCAACUUGCCUGAAAUUUAUUGUAGUGGAGAAUAUAAGGCCCCGGAGUAAACAAUAAAUUAAUGCAAUAAAGGCUUCAAUGUGACAUGACCCUCAAAUAUUUCUUAUCAGCAUUGCGUUGCAAGCUUCUUUUCAUCCACAAUAUUAAAUGUGGUACACAGACUGACAAA